Molecule: ribosomal RNA, 443 nt
Filed under: uncultured bacterium
Lineage: Bacteria
Description: partial 16S ribosomal RNA
Rfam family: Bacterial small subunit ribosomal RNA
Source: RNAcentral
CCUACGGGAGGCAGCAGUGGGGAAUAUUGGGCAAUGGGCGCAAGCCUUACCCAGCAAUACCGCGUGAGUGAAGAAGGUCUUCGGAUUGUACAGCUCUUUGAUCAGGGACGAACAGAUGACGGUACCUGAAGAACAAGCCCCGGCUAACUACGUGCCAGCAGCCGCGGUAAAACGUAGGGGGCGAGCGUUGUCCGGAAUGACUGGGCGUAAAGGGUGCGUAGGGGGCAUAAUAAGUUAGAAGUGAAAUACCCAGAGCUUAACUCGGGUGCUGCUUCUAAGACUGUUGAGCUUGAGUGCGGGAGAGGUUAAUGGAAUUCCUAGUGUAGCGGUGGAAUGCGUAGAUAUUAGGAGGAACACCAGUGGCGAAGGCGGUCUGCUGGACAGCAACUGACGCUGAGGCGCGAAAGCGUGGGGAGCAAACAGGAUUAGAUACCCCAGUAGUC